This 591-nucleotide ribosomal RNA is filed under the name Debaryomyces nepalensis. RNAcentral describes it as "eukaryotic LSU rRNA". It matches the Rfam family "Eukaryotic large subunit ribosomal RNA", at positions 48 to 655 of the family's 3401-position model. Lineage: Eukaryota; Fungi; Ascomycota; Pichiomycetes; Serinales; Debaryomycetaceae. The record is from RNAcentral.
AAGCGGAGGAAAAGAAACCAACAGGCAUUGCCUUAGUAACGGCGAGUGAAGCGGCAAAAGCUCAAAUUUGAAAUCUGGCACCUUCGGUGUCCGAGUUGUAAUUUGAAGAAGGUAACUUUGGAGUUGGCUCUUGUCUAUGUUCCUUGGAACAGGACGUCACAGAGGGUGAGAAUCCCGUGCGAUGAGAUGCCCAAUUCUAUGUAAAGUGCUUUCGAAGAGUCGAGUUGUUUGGGAAUGCAGCUCUAAGUGGGUGGUAAAUUCCAUCUAAAGCUAAAUAUUGGCGAGAGACCGAUAGCGAACAAGUACAGUGAUGGAAAGAUGAAAAGAACUUUGAAAAGAGAGUGAAAAAGUACGUGAAAUUGUUGAAAGGGAAGGGCUUGAGAUCAGACUUGGUAUUUUGCGAUCCUUUCCUUCUUGGUUGGGUUCUCCGCAGCUUACUGGGCCAGCAUCGGUUUGGAUGGUAGGAUAAUGAUUAAGGAAUGUAUCUCUACUUCGGUGGAGUGUUAUAGCCUUGGUUGAUACUGCCUGUCUAGACCGAGGACUGCGUCUUUGACUAGGAUGCUGGCAUAAUGAUCUUAAGCCACCCGUCUU